This 107-nucleotide small nuclear RNA is filed under the name Sciurus vulgaris (Eurasian red squirrel). Lineage: Eukaryota; Metazoa; Chordata; Mammalia; Rodentia; Sciuridae. The record is from RNAcentral.
GUGCUUACUUUGGCAGCACAUAUAAUAAAAUUGGAACGAUACAGAAAAGAUAAGCAUGGCCCCUGUGCAAGGAUGACAUGCAAAUUUGUGAGGUGUUCCAUAUUUUU